Oryzias melastigma (Indian medaka) is the source of this 892-nucleotide long non-coding RNA. RefSeq lists it as uncharacterized. The transcript has 3 exons. NCBI's taxonomy places the organism in Eukaryota, Metazoa, Chordata, Actinopteri, Beloniformes, Adrianichthyidae. The record is from RefSeq and is a predicted model, not a curated record.
UACUCUUUCAGCGAAGGCGAGGACACAAGAGACGCCUCUUUCCCCCUUUGUGCGCCUGUCUCCCACCUCUGCAUUUGAAUGUGGGGUGAUGAACUCUCCCACGGCGGGGAGCGCGCGCCUUUUGGGAAUUAUCCACGCGGCACGCCUCGCGCUUUGAGCUUGAACUUGACCGCAGGAAUGCGGCUCGUGGGAACGCCGGCUCGAGGCUGCCCCCGUCCAUUCACGGCGCACAGGUCGGUGUCAGCUCAGAUUAUCAUAAAACCCAGCCUGCUUCAGAUUAAGUCCCUCUUUCACACCAGGCAGAGGAGGAAUUAACAGCUCUCUGCACGAGCCUGCUGCGGGAAGGCUGACCUAAAGUCUGCAUUCAUUCAGAAGACAAACUGCCUGCAGAGAGGAUGAGGAGCAUCCGUCAGCCUGCAGAUGGAGACAUGGGUGGGUGGUUGGAAGGCUGGUAGAUGACUGAACUCGGAGACCCUGCACAGCUCAUCAUCAUUGCCAGGGGCUCUCGUCUUUUUCCUCCCCUCCCAUGGCUCGUACCUCCAUCCUGGAGUCCAGCAGAGUCAGUGAAGCCCAGGCGGGCGGCGAGUGAGUGGGCUGGGAAGGAUGGAUACCUCUGGAGCUACCAUGCAGGAGAAAUCAAUACCAAACACAGAAUCUUCACAGCUCUGAGUGGGGUUUCCUGUGUUUUUAAGUGUGUGGCUUAGGGGGCCGGCAAACCUCCAAAGGACAGGCCCUGCACGGCUCCUUCAGCUGCAGCCCCUGCUCGUUUCUGGACCUCAGUCGCCAUCUCCGCUGGCUGUGUGUGGUUCUGCUGCGGGGGGUUUCUCCCCAAACGAUGCCGAAAGACUGCUGAGAGGGAUUUUCUCUUCCCUUUGUUUUUAUUUUUCCCCCC